UACGGGGGGGGUAAGCGUUGUUCGGAAUUACUGGGCGUAAAGGGCUCGUAGGCGGCCAACUAAGUCAGACGUGAAAUCCCUCAGCUUAACUGGGGAACUGCGUCUGAUACUGGAUGGCUUGGAUCCGGAAGAGGGAUGCGGAAUUCCAGGUGUAGCGGUGAAAUGCGUAGAUAUCAAGAGGAACACCUGAGGUGAAGACGGGUUGCUGGGCUGACACUGACGCUGAGGCGCGAAAGCCAGGGGAGCAAACGGG
This 253-nucleotide ribosomal RNA is filed under the name uncultured bacterium. Its description in RNAcentral is "partial 16S ribosomal RNA". It matches the Rfam family "Bacterial small subunit ribosomal RNA", at positions 524 to 776 of the family's 1533-position model. The record is from RNAcentral.